This 273-nucleotide ribosomal RNA is filed under the name uncultured bacterium. RNAcentral describes it as "partial 16S ribosomal RNA". It matches the Rfam family "Archaeal small subunit ribosomal RNA", at positions 474 to 747 of the family's 1478-position model. The record is from RNAcentral.
UACCAGCACCCCGAGUGGUCGGGACGAUUAUUGGGCCUAAAGCAUCCGUAGCCGGUUCUACAAGUCUUCCGUUAAAUCCACCUGCUUAACAGUUGGGCUGCAGAGGAUACUAUAGAGCUAGGAGGCGGGAGAGGCAAGCGGUACUUAGUGGGUAGGGGUAAAAUCCGUUGAUCCACUGAAGACCACCAGUGGCGAAGGCGGCUUGCCAGAACGCGCUCGACGGUGAGGGAUGAAAGCUGGGGGAGCAAACCGGAUGAGAAACCCUUGUAGUCC